AGCGAACGCUGGCGGCAGGCUUAACACAUGCAAGUCGAGCGGGCACUUUCGGGUGUCAGCGGCGGACGGGUGAGUAACGCGUGGGAACGUUCCCUCUGGUUCGGAAUAACUCAGGGAAACUUGAGCUAAUACCGGAUACGCCCUUUUGGGGAAAGGCUUGCUGCCGGAGGAUCGGCCCGCGUCUGAUUAGCUAGUUGGUGAGGUAACGGCUCACCAAGGCGACGAUCAGUAGCUGGUCUGAGAGGAUGAUCAGCCACACUGGGACUGAGACACGGCCCAGACUCCUACGGGAGGCAGCAGUGGGGAAUAUUGGACAAUGGGCGCAAGCCUGAUCCAGCCAUGCCGCGUGAGUGAUGAAGGCCUUAGGGUUGUAAAGCUCUUUUAUCCGGGACGAUAAUGACGGUACCGGAGGAAUAAGCCCCGGCUAACUUCGUG
Molecule: ribosomal RNA, 435 nt
Filed under: uncultured bacterium
Lineage: Bacteria
Description: partial 16S ribosomal RNA
Rfam family: Bacterial small subunit ribosomal RNA
Source: RNAcentral